UAGCUUAUUUGGUAGAGCGCUCCGUUGGAAAUGGAGAGGUCCCUGGUUCGAUACCAGG
Molecule: transfer RNA, 58 nt
Filed under: Ixodes scapularis (black-legged tick)
Lineage: Eukaryota; Metazoa; Arthropoda; Arachnida; Ixodida; Ixodidae
Rfam family: tRNA
About the family: Transfer RNA (tRNA) molecules are approximately 80 nucleotides in length. Their secondary structure includes four short double-helical elements and three loops (D, anti-codon, and T loops).
Source: Rfam by way of RNAcentral